Sesamum indicum (sesame) is the source of this 2423-nucleotide RNA transcript. It is a transcript of the gene named O-fucosyltransferase family protein, with no coding region annotated. The record is from RefSeq and is a predicted model, not a curated record. NCBI's taxonomy places the organism in Eukaryota, Viridiplantae, Streptophyta, Magnoliopsida, Lamiales, Pedaliaceae.
UGAUGUCACCUUUCAUUUAUUGACUUUCCUUUUUCUCUCCUCCUCCUCCUCCUCUCCUCACUCUCCACUUCCCCAUCAAUCGCUUUCUCCUUCAUUUCACACUGUACAAGAAUAACAACGAGAAAAGAAAACCCUGAUUAGGGUUUCUGGAACCACGGAUUGUUGUUAAAUGUGUUGAAUCUGCUCGCAAUUUACCAACAGUGCGUGUUUUGACAGGUGAAAAAAUUUUGAUGUGCGUAAUACUAUGAAAAAGGGGGAAGCAAGAUGGUCGUGGCUAACAAGGCCUGGAGGUGUAGCGGGGGCGUGCUGGUGAACAAUCUGGCUGCCGAAAUUCUGCAGCAGCAGAAGCAGAAGCAGCAGCUGUCGCCGCAGCAGCUGCAUUGUUGGAAUUAUCAACCGUGGAGGCGGCGGCCGGUGGUGCCGUGGACGGCGGUGUGCGGGCUGCUGCUCUUUGCGGUUGGGCUCAUAUCUCUGUUUACGGGACACGUGGCAUCUGAUCUAGAAUGGUACUCACAGCGCCUCGUUAAGCGGACUUGGUACUAUAAGAGGGAUAGCAGUUAUCGUGCUCCUAUUGAUAUAUGGAAAUCAAGAUUUUCAAACUUGUAUUAUGGUUGCAGUGAUAGAGGCCCUCGUUUUGCGCCUGCUGUACGUGAACGAUUUUCAAAUGGCUACUUGCUUAUUGCGACUAGUGGGGGGCUGAACCAACAAAGAACAGGAAUAACUGAUGCUGUAGUUGUUGCAAGAAUCCUAAAUGCUACUUUGGUUGUGCCAGAGCUGGAUCACCAUUCAUACUGGAAGGAUGAAAGUGAUUUUGUCAACAUUUUUGAUGUUGAUUGGUUUAUCUCUUACCUUGCAAAGGAUGUACCAAUUGUUAAAAGGGUACCGGAAAAAGUGAUGAGGUCAAUGGACAAACCACCAUAUACCAUGCGUGUUCCGCGAAAAUCAGAGCCUGACUAUUAUCUGGAGCAAGUAUUGCCUAUUCUACUGAGGAGACGUGUUCUUCAGUUGACGAAGUUCGAUUACAGGCUUACUAGCGACCUUGAUGAAGACCUACAAAAGUUACGUUGCCGGGUUAAUUAUCAUGCUUUAAGAUUUACUAAACCUAUCAGGAACCUGGGUCAAAGGCUUGUCACACGCAUGCGGAAAAUGGCAAAGCGUUUUAUUGCUGUUCACUUGAGGUUUGAACCUGACAUGCUAGCAUUUUCUGGCUGUUACUAUGGUGGGGGUGAUAAAGAAAGACAGGAGCUGGGUGAGAUAAGAAAGCGGUGGGAAACUUUACCUGAAUUAAGCCCAGAUGAGGAGAGGACACGAGGGAAGUGCCCUUUGACCCCUCAUGAGGUGGGUUUGUUGCUGCGGGCCCUUGAUUUUGACAAUAACACAUAUCUCUAUGUUGCAUCUGGAGAAAUAUAUGGUGGAGAAGAAACUUUGAGGCCCCUCAAAGAGCUCUUUCCGAACUUCUAUACAAAGGAGAUGCUAGCUGGUGAAGAGUUGAAUUCCCUUCUUCCAUUUUCUUCUCGUUUGGCUGCCAUUGAUUACAUUGUCUGUGAUGAAAGUGAUGUCUUUGUGACCAAUAACAAUGGGAAUAUGGCAAAAAUCCUAGCUGGUCGAAGGAGAUAUAUGGGUCACAAGAGGACAAUCAGACCUAAUGCCAAAAGGCUUAGUGCUUUGUUCUCCGCUCGAGACAAAAUGGACUGGAAUACCUUUUCAAGAAAGGUCAAAUCAUGCCAAAGAGGAUUCAUGGGAGAACCUGAAGAGAUGAGACCCGGAAGAGGAGAGUUUCAUGAAUAUCCAUCUGCAUGCAUUUGCCAGAAACCAUCCAAAUUUUUGGCUAUCAACAAAAACAAAGGACAUAAAAACUUCGACAGGUUUCUGAAUGCUUCUGCAGAAGAGUCUAUGGAUGAGUACACUGGCAAUGAACAAAGCAGGAAAAGCUUGUUGAAACAGGACAAGCGAAGCAGCGGAAAUAAAACCAUUUCCAUCAUAGAGGAUAAUGAUCAUGAAGAUUUUUUAUCUGAUUAGAUGAAACCACCGACUAGGUAACUGCUCUAACUUGGUACAGAUGUACAAUGGCUACGUUAUAUGCCCUGCUGAUUUCCUGUUCCACUUGAUGUUAUGAGGUGCAAUGGGGUGAAAACAACUUUAUAUGGUGCACAAUUUCUGUUCCAAACAGGGUGGGAAUUCAUGUGAUUUUGAUUGUCUAUCUUGUUAGAGAGAGAAGGGGGAAGAUACGGGUGGUUGUUUUGAAGAAUGUAUAUUAUAUGUUCGUUUUGUAUUUAGAGAUUGGGAAAAGAUAAUUAAAGAUAGGUAUUUAUAUGUUUGAUUUUGUUUUAUUUUUUCUUUUUUCGUUGCAAGGAAUAAAAUUUAUGACUCGGUAAUAUUUUAUUUAUAUUUUUUUAAUUUUAAAUAAAAGUGUGUAUGAAUCA